Molecule: long non-coding RNA, 1090 nt
Organism: Rosa chinensis
Lineage: Eukaryota; Viridiplantae; Streptophyta; Magnoliopsida; Rosales; Rosaceae
Exons: 4
Source: RefSeq, a predicted model, not a curated record
GCAGCUGUAUUUCUUGAUAACAACACAUUCUGCAUUUUCUCACCAACAUAUUUACUACCCUCCAGUGUUUAUCAAUGGUCAGGAAAAUGCAGAGGAGGAGGAUAUGGAUAACAAUGAUGAUCUUGCUGGAGAUGCCAUUGAAAGUGAUGACAAGGAAGAACAGGUACCAGCAGAACGGCCUCCCAAAACAUCAAAAUUUAUAGCUUCAUCAUGUACUCAUCAAGUGUGCUUAAUAUCUGGAUGAAGAUUCAUAGUUGAAGGCUACAGACUUUGGCCUGUCAGAUUUUGUGAAACCAGAUGAAAAGUUUAUCAAAAUUGCUGGUAGUACAUACUGUGUAGCCCCCAAAGUGUUACAUAUGGCUUAUGGUACAGAGGCUGAUGUCUGGAGCGUAGGUGUGAUUGCACACAUUCUAUUGUGUGGCAGCUGUCCAUUUUGGCCUUGAACGAAGUUUGGCAUUUUUCGGGCAGUUCUAAAAGUUGAUCUAAGUUUCAAUGAACCUUGGCCACAUUCUCUACAGAGGCAAAAGUAAUUUGGUCAAGCGCCUAUUGAAUCAAGACCCACGGAAAAGAAUUACCACUGCACAAACAUGAAGUGAGUGCCUUAUCCACUCUCAAAAUGCUUAGUCAUGAACUCAUGAUUAACUUCUGAAACUGUCACUCACUGCUUUCUCUUGCAGGUCAUCCCUGCCUUGAACAUCAUAACACUGUUAAACUUCCUCCGGACAUAAUAAUAUUCAAGCUCAUGAAGGUUUAUAUGCGCUUAUCACCUCUCCGCAAAACUGCUUUAAGGGGAGUUUUUUGCUCAGCUUUCCAGGUUGGUGUAUCAACAUGGUGUCUUAACAUGACAGGGCCGAUUUUUGUAUCUAUGUUCAAGCCUUUGGGGAUCGUAGUUGCAGUUGCCACUGGUUUUGGAGUGUAGCAUACUCUUUACUCUCUGGGUUCAGAAAAUCUAGAAAGAAAGCACGGGCUAUCUAGCUUAAUUUUGAGUUUAACUACCAAAAGAUAAUUGUUGUUUAUGUACUCUAAUCGACUGAAAACACGUAUCAAUAACAAAGAGACCCGCAGCAAAGCGCGGGCUAUCUAUCUAGUU